Molecule: ribosomal RNA, 429 nt
Filed under: Actinomycetes bacterium
Lineage: Bacteria; Bacillati; Actinomycetota; Actinomycetes
Description: Actinobacteria bacterium partial 16S ribosomal RNA
Rfam family: Bacterial small subunit ribosomal RNA
Source: RNAcentral
UAGGGAAUCUUCCGCAAUGGGCGAAAGCCUGACGGAGCAACGCCGCGUGAGUGAUGAAGGUCUUCGGAUCGUAAAACUCUGUUAUUAGGGAAGAACAAAUGCGUAAGUAACUAUGCACGUCUUGACGGUACCUAAUCAGAAAGCCACGGCUAACUACGUGCCAGCAGCCGCGGUAAUACGUAGGUGGCAAGCGUUAUCCGGAAUUAUUGGGCGUAAAGCGCGCGUAGGCGGUUUUUUAAGUCUGAUGUGAAAGCCCACGGCUCAACCGUGGAGGGUCAUUGGACACUGGAAAACUUGAGUGCAGAAGAGGAAAGUGAAAUUCCAUGUGUAGCGGUAAAAUGCGCAUAGAUAAGGAGGAACACCAGUGGCGAAGGCGACUUUAUGGUCUGUAACUGAAGCUGAUGUGCGAAAGCGUGGGGAUCAAACAGG